GUCUUUAUAGUCUAGGGGUUAAGACAUCGCCCUUUCACGGCGAAAACACGAGUUCAAAUCUCGUUAAAGAUA
This 72-nucleotide transfer RNA is filed under the name Lithodesmium undulatum. Its description in RNAcentral is "tRNA-Glu". It matches the Rfam family "tRNA". From Rfam's summary of the family: Transfer RNA (tRNA) molecules are approximately 80 nucleotides in length. Their secondary structure includes four short double-helical elements and three loops (D, anti-codon, and T loops). Lineage: Eukaryota; Bacillariophyta; Thalassiosirophyceae; Lithodesmiales; Lithodesmiaceae. The record is from RNAcentral.